This 488-nucleotide ribosomal RNA is filed under the name uncultured bacterium. Its description in RNAcentral is "bacterial SSU rRNA". It matches the Rfam family "Bacterial small subunit ribosomal RNA", at positions 30 to 507 of the family's 1533-position model. The record is from RNAcentral.
AUUGAACGCUGGCGGCAGGCCUAACACAUGCAAGUCGAGCGGAAACGAUCCUAGCUUGCUAGGAGGCGUCGAGCGGCGGACGGGUGAGUAACGCGUGAGAAUCUACCCAUGAGUGGAGGACAACCCGGGGAAACUCGGGCUAAUACCGCAUACGCCCUACGGGGUAAAGCAGGGGACCUUCGGGCCUUGCGCUGAUGGAUGAGCUCGCGUCGGAUUAGCUUGUUGGUGAGGUAAAGGCUCACCAAGGCGACGAUCCGUAGCUGGUCUGAGAGGAUGAUCAGCCACACCGGGACUGAGACACGGCCCGGACUCCUACGGGAGGCAGCAGUGGGGAAUCUUGGACAAUGGGGGCAACCCUGAUCCAGCCAUGCCGCGUGUGUGAAGAAGGCCUUCGGGUUGUAAAGCACUUUCAGCAGGGAGGAAGGCUUACCCCUAAUACGGGUGAGUACUUGACGUUACCUGCAGAAGAAGCACCGGCUAAUUUCGUG